CACCAUCCACUAUAUUCACUAUUAUUGGCAGGCACCAGAUGCCUGUUUUAUUAUUGAUGAUAUUAAGAGGAUUUGAACCAACAGCCAGAAGAAAAGAUAUACAAGGUGAGGUCCUGAACAAAGGAACUUCUGUCCUUUUGGAGUUUGGAACCCAGCACAGUGGCAUGUGGAGGCGUUCUGCUUCACCCACCUGGAAGCUCUCCAAAACCUUUUCCUCCUGUAUGUCUGUUUUGGUACCAGAACCACACUGUCUUGAUUACUGUAGCUUUGUAAUAUCAUCGGAAGUCUGGGAGAGUUUUGGUUCCUGCUUAGUUUUUGUUCCUCAGGAUUGCUUUAGCAAUUCUGGGUCUUUUGUUGUUUCAUAUAAAUUUUUGGAUUGUUUGUUUUAGUUCUGUGAAAAAUGUCAUGGGUAAUUUGAUAGGGAUUGCAUUUAAUCUGUAGAUCGCUUUGGGUAGUAUGGCCAUUUUAACAUGAUUAGUUUUUCAAACUCUGGAGCAUGGACUAUCUUUCUAUUUCUUUGAAUCCUCUUUAAUUUCCUUGCUUAAUGUUUUAUAGUUCUCACCAUAUAAGUCUUUUACCUGCUUGGUCAGGUUUAUUCCCAGGUAUUUAAUUUUUGGGGGGUGCAAUUUUAAAGGGUAUUGUAUUUUUGUAUUCCUUUCUUAAUAUUUCAUUGUUAGUAUACAGAAAUGCAACUGAUUUCUGAAUGUUAAUCUUGUAAUCCUGCUACUUUGCUGAAUUCAUUGAUCAGUUUGAGGAGGUUUUGUUGUGGAUGCCUUAGGGUUUUCUAUGUAUAAUCAUGUCAUUGGCAUACACUGACAAUUUUACCUCUUCUCUUGCAAUUUGGAUAUGUUUAUUUCUUUUCUUUGUCUGAUUGCUGUGGCUAGGAUUUCUGAUAUUAUGUUGAAUAACAGUGGUGAGAGUGGACAUCCUUGUCUUGUUCCAGAUUUUAGUGGAAAGUCUUUCAGCUUCUCUCCAUUGAGUAUUAUAUAUGGUGUGGGUUUGUCAUGAAUGACUUUUAUUAUGUUAAGAUAUGUUCCCUCUAUACCCACUUUGGUAAGAUUUUUUACCAUGAAUGGAUGUUGGACUUUGUCAGAUGCUUUUUCUGCAUCUAUAGAGAUGAUCAUGUGGUUUUUGACUUUUCUUUUGUUAAUGUGGUGUAUAUGUUGAUUGAUUUGCAUAUGUUGAACUUGGGAACCUGGGAUGAAUCCUACCUAGUCAUGUUGUAUGAUCUAUUUUAUAUGCUGUUGGUUUAGGUUGGCUAAAUUUUUGUUGAGAAUUUUGUAUCUAUAUUCAUCAAAAUAUCAGCCUAUAAUUUUUUUUUUGGUAGUAUCUUUGUCUGGUUUUGGAAUUAGGGUGAUGGUGGCAUCAUAGAAUAUCUUUUGGAGUGUUCCUUCGUCUUCAAACUUUUGAAAAAGUUUAAGGAGGAUGGGUAUAAGUUCUUAUUUGUAAGUUUGGGUGUAGAAUUCACCUGUGAAGCCAUCUGGUCCUGGACUUUUGUUUCUAGGGAGUGUUUUUAUUACAUAUUCAAUUUAAUUUCUAGUGAUCAGUCUGUUCAGUUUAUCUAUUUCUUAUUGAUUCAUUUUUGCCAGGCUGUAAGUCUCUAGAAAGUUGUCCAUUUAUUCUAGGUUGUCAAAUUUGUUAUUAUAUAAUUGUUAAUAUUAUUCUCUUUUUGUUGUUAUUUCUGCAAUAUCCAUUGAGAUUUCUCCCUUUUCAUUUCUUAUUUUGUUUAUUUGGGUUCUUUCUCUCUUCUUCUUAGUGAGUCUGGCCAGAGGUUUAUCAAUUUUGUUUACCUUUUCAAAGAACCAGCUGUUGGUUUUAUUGAUUUUUUUUCUAUUGUUUUUUUUUUUUGAAUCUCUAUUUUAUUGAUUUCCUGUUUGAUCUUUAUGAUUUCCUUCCUUCUGCUGACUUUAGGUUUUUUUUUGUUCUUCUUUUUCUAAUUCAUUUAGGUGUUGGUUUAAAUUGUUGAUUUGAGAUUUUUCUUCUUUUUUGAGGAAGGCCUCUAUCACUAUGAAUUUCCCUCUAAACACACUGCUUUUGUGGUAUCCUAUAGAUUUUGAAUGGUUGUAUCUUCAUUAUCAUUUGUCUUGAGGUACUUUUUAAUUUCGCUUUUGAUUUUCUCUUUGACCCAUUAGUUUUUUUAGUAGCAAGUUGUUUAGCCUCCAUGGAGUCAGUUUUUUCUCAUUUCUUUUCUUGUGGCUGAUUUCUGGUUUCAUGCCAUUGUGGUCAUUGAAAAUACUUGAAAUAAUUUCUCCACUCUUAAAUUUGUUGAGGUUAGUUUUGUGCCCCAGUAUGUGGUCAAUCCCUGAGAAUGUUCCACGUGCACUUGAGAAGAAUGUGUAUUCUGAUAUUUUGGAUGUAAUGUCCUGAAAAUGUCAAUUAAGUCUAACUUUUCUACUGAGUCAUUUAGGAUUUCUGUUGCCUUACUGAUUUUCUGUCUAGAGGAUCUGUUCAUCGAUGUGAGUAGGGUGUUAAAGUCUCCCACUAUUAUUGUAUUCCCAUCAAUUUCUCCUUUUAUGUCUGUUAGUAUUUUUUGUAUGUAUCUGGGUGCUCCUAUAUUAGGGGCAUAUAUUCAUGAUUGUAAUGUCCUCCUCCUGAAAGGAUAAUUUUAUCAUUAAAUAGUGUCCUUCUUUUUCUUUCUUUAUGGCCUUAAUUGUAAAGUCUAUUUUGUCUGAUAUGGAUAUUGUGAUUCCUGCUUUCCUGUCUUGUCUAUUCUCAUGCAAUAUCUUUUCACAUCCCCUCGCUUUCAAUCUAUAUGUGUCCUCUGCCCUAAAGUGAGUCUCUUAUAGACAGCAUAUUGAAGGCAUUUGAUUUUUUCCCCAAUCUACCACCCUGUGUCUUUUUUUAAUAUAAAGAUUCUUAUUUUUUUAAUUAUAGCUGGUUUACAGUGUUCUGUUAAUUUUCUACUGUACAGCAUGGUGACCCAGUUACACAUACAUGUAUAGAUUCUUUUUUCUAACAUUAUCAUGCUCCAUCAUAAGUGACUUGGUAUAGUUCCCUGUGUAGCAGGAUCUCAUUGCUUAUCCAUUCCAAAGACAAUAGUCUGCAUCUAUUUACCCCAAGUUCCCAAUCCAUCCCUCUCCCUCCCCCUUGGCAACUAUGGUACUUUGAGUCUUUUGAUUGGCACAUUCAGUGCAUUGACAUUUAUGUCAAUUAUUGAUAAAUAUGUUUUAUUGCCAUUUGAACCCUUGUUUUCCAGUUGAUUGUUUUUCCUUGGUUCCUUUCUUUUUUUGGUUGGAUUUCCAUUUUAUGUUUGUGUACAUUUCUUUUUAGUUUUUAUGAAUGUAAUAUUUGGUUUUGAUUUGUGGUUUCCCUCUUUUUUAAGUAUGUUACCCCUUCCUAUAUCUGCUUGCUUUUAGCAUGAUAGUCAUAUAGACUCAAACACAUU
This 3385-nucleotide long non-coding RNA is filed under the name Sus scrofa (pig). Its description in RNAcentral is "lncRNA (ENSSSCG00000058006.1)". The record is from RNAcentral. Lineage: Eukaryota; Metazoa; Chordata; Mammalia; Artiodactyla; Suidae.